RNAcentral lists this long non-coding RNA (457 nucleotides) under Medicago truncatula (barrel medic). Its description in RNAcentral is "long non-coding RNA (MTRU_LNC003111)". Lineage: Eukaryota; Viridiplantae; Streptophyta; Magnoliopsida; Fabales; Fabaceae. The record is from RNAcentral.
ACAACCCUUAUAUGUCCCCAAACCGGGUCGCCCAUGACCCAUGACCCGCGACCCGGUUCGUUUCCUUAAAGCCCAAUUCUUUUUUUUUUUUUUUUGCUUUCUGCACGCCCCUGUUUACUACUGCACCCCACCUUGUGUUUGGACCAUUUUUUUUAUUUUUCCUUAUUCCUUUUCGUAUUUGUUUAUUUAUUUUUAGCAUUUUAAUUUUUAUUGCAGACCUUAGAAUGUAAAUAGGUUUUUUUGUAAUAGUCAUAGAUUUUAUAUUUCUAACUUAGGGUAGCCGCGCUUUUAUUCUUUAUGCUCCGUUAGUUUAUAUAUUUAUUCAAAAAUCACAAAAACAUGCAAAUAACCAAAAAUCACAAAAAACAUUUUUCCAUAAUAAACCUUGAUCCUAAAUCAAGUGAUCGUCCUUUUUUUUCAUUUUAUUUUCUUAAUCAAAUAUCAAUCAAUUUAAUCA